CUCACGGCCACAACCAUCUGCCCGUUUUCUUCCCGUUGUUCACAUCACCGUCAUUCAGUAUGUUAUGUUCCCUUACGACACUAAGACUAAGGAAGGACCGACGUUAAGAUAGGCAGGAGGCCAUAAUGUUUAUUAUGAAGGAUUCCAAGGGAGGGAUGAGGUAGUGGUGGGUGGGUAGUGGUACUGGUUCAGGGUUUCAUAAGAGCGGUGUUAUCGUGGUUAGUGGUCCUAAUAUGCCCCCCCCCCCCUUCACUCCUCACCCCUACAAUGGUCUGAGGGGUUACCGAGGGAGGGAAGUAGGAGGAGGGAGACCCCGGUAAUUUCUGCACACAUAACCUUUGCAAAUGAUGAUCCAAUGUCUCCGUAGACAUACUUUAUUGGACGUUAUUAGGCAGUAACGUCGUGGAACUACUGCUGCCGCCUCCACCACAAAGGCUACCCGCUCCUACGCUUAACUAUCUAAUUGGUCUAUAGCCAACCUCUAACUAUCUCUUACGGAAAAUGAAGCAAUCUGUUUGGUCCUCCUUCCCGCCCCUCUUCCUCACCCAUCCACCUCAUACUAUCGUCUCCGUCUAAUUAUUUAAUUGGUCUGUUUUUCGGGUCUUAAUAAUUCAUACCAUUGUUAUGUCUCGAGGUAUUGUCCUAACGUGAUUGUUGAUGUCUGUGUAACAUCCGAGGUCCUCUCUCUCUCUCUCUCUCUCUCUCUCUCUCUCUCUCUCUCUCUCUCUCUCUCUCUCUCUCGUGAAAAGGUAUAAUUUUCUUUUAUUUUUUAAUUUAUAAUAUAUUAUUCCUUUCUGUUUAUAUCAUUAUUAAUAUCGUCUACAAACUAUUAAUACAAUAUCAAUCAUCACAAUGUUGUAAAUAAGUAAAGGAAAAUCACUUGGGUAAAAAAACACGCAGGGAUAAUGAACUCUUGAGUCUUGCUGGUCUUAACAACUUCAGGAAUCAAACGAGGCGGAAAAUCGACUUAAAAAAAAAUAUAAUACUCUCACUAGCAACUUGUUCGACGGUGUUGCCAUACGAGGGAGGGAGGGAGGGAGGGUGGGUCUGUUAUUGGUUUUCUUUCCAUGGUUCCAGGAAUUCCCAAUCCACUGGAAUAGCUAGAAAGGAGUAGGUGGGGAGGGAGGGAGGGAGGCAGGAGGGGAGGAUUGUAGUAGUAGUAGACUCUUAAGGCUCGCGGUCGGUCAUGUUUUGUUGUCACACUUGGGAAAUUGAGAGAAAAAAAAAUAUAUCGAGCAAGAUUUCUAGGUGUUAUUCUUUGUUUACACGUCAUCGAGGGUGGCCAAUAUUUUUGUUUCGUUUCUCCUAGGUAUUAUUUAAGUUUGUUAGGGUAGAUGCAAGAGAUAGAAAGAGAACCGUGAAUUGUAUAGAUAACGUGUUACUUUUUUUUUUUUUUAAUUUAUCGAAUUUACAAAUGAUUUUGACACAUUACAAAAUCCUCCUUUAAAUGUUAUAAUAAUAAAAUAAAAACAAUUAUUCAUGAUAUUCCACAACUACCAUCACCACAACUACCGCCCCCUUACUGCCACCACCAUCACUAUUUCUAUCCCUACAAGUACCACCACCACACACCACAAGAGCUGUUAAUUUGCCAAGGUCUCCCCUGGGGGUCAGCUAAGACCUGAUAAAGGGAGGAUGGGAGGGAGGGUGGGUGGUUAACUCUACCUAAGAUUUUUCGAGAGGUCAGCUGUAUCUUAAGAGGUCAGCUGUAUCUUAAGAGGUCAGCUGUAUCUUAAGAGGUCAGCUGGAUCUUAAGAGGUCAGCUGUAUCUUAAGAGGUCAGCUGGAUCUUAAGAGGCCAAUAAUAAUUCUCAUAGCCUAAUAGUAGUACUUACAAAGAUUACUUAUAAUACUUUAGAGGAGCGAUAAGUGCGACCUACUUUUCUUGCCUACACCUCCCCUCCCCUACGCGUAGUAAAUGGUCAUAACUUUACGUUCAGUGUCGUUAUUCUGCGUUCACAGCCCCCCUAACAAAGGCCAUUGAUAGCCAUUAAGAUAUACAUUAUGCGCGGACGAAGUAUAAUGGCAUGGGGUAGGGGUUGUUAAUAACCUCCCCCCCCCCUCUACCUAAA
Homarus americanus (American lobster) is the source of this 2071-nucleotide long non-coding RNA. RefSeq lists it as uncharacterized. The transcript has 2 exons. The record is from RefSeq and is a predicted model, not a curated record. Lineage: Eukaryota; Metazoa; Arthropoda; Malacostraca; Decapoda; Nephropidae.